GCUGUCCAAGUUGGAGUGUCUAGGUGUUUUCUUUCUUUGGAUUUCAAUGUUUAAAUUUAUUUAUCUUUGCUUUGUGCAUAUGAGGAACUAAACCCCCCUUGGCUAGGGGGGAUUCGAAACCAUGUUUUUGCUUGCUAUAUAAUUUGAUUACUUUCAAUUGCGUUUCAUAAGUUGUGAAUUCAAUUUGCUUAUCUAUAUGAAUUAAAACUGAUUUGUGUGUGUUGGUUGAGAGUGCAUGCUUAAUUUUCAUACAUAAAUCUAAUGCUAGGAUAUAAGGGAGUUUCGCCUAAUCGUUAUGAACUUAUAGUCAAGAGUAGUAAAGGUUGCUAAUCACAAUCGUGUUAAGUAAAUUAUUGGCAUAAGUUUCAUGCAAUUCAUAGUAACAAGUGCCUCGUCAAUGCUUAUGAUUUUUAUAGAACUUAAUGAUUCUUGCUUGUAUCUUUAUUAUGCAAUUCAUGUAGGGAACUUGUGGGGAAUGCUUUGGGUUGUUGUAUGCAAUCAUCCAAUUCAAUAACUUUAGGAAAAUCUGAGAGUUAAUUAGUGCAAUUCACGGUUAAUCUGGGGAGUUGAGGAUUCAUAGUUUAUUGCAAAGCAAUUGGAAAUCGUUUUGUAUGCAAGUGUGACAUGUGUGGAGAAGAACCUCCUAGCUAGCCAAUCAUCCAUCUAAUUCACCAAAUUUCGUUUAAAAUCUGUUUAAGUCUUUCUUGUUUAAUUUCAUUUAAUUUUCGUCCAAAACCAAACCCCUUUUACUUUAGAGUGCCUAACUAGUUAGAAUAUGUUUUAGAUUGUGUUUUUAAGUGUUUUGAGUCAAGAAAACCCAAUAAUUCGUCCAAAGGAGUGUUAGAGUUCAAAUAUGCCCAGUUUGUGUUUUUAGGCAGAUUUGAGUGUUUUUGGGUUGUUUUGAGUCUUUUGAGCUGUUUUAGUGUUUUCUAGUUUAGUUUUGCAUUCUUUGAGUCUAGUUUAGUGUUUUAAACUUUGUUUUAUGUUUUUGAGUCAGUUUUAAGUGUUUUAGCAAUCCAUCCUAAUCCCCGGCUUAGAACGAUCCCUACUUACAUACUUUGCUACAAUUGAUAAAAAUAGGGUUUAAUUUGUGUGCUUAUAUAUUUCGCAUCAUUAACCAUCUAUACCAAAAUUUGCCAAGAAUCCUCAUCGACACGAAAGCUCAGCACUAAAACCUGGAGGGGCAAAAAACAAGGGUGAGUGGGCCUAAAAAAUAAAGCUUGGUAAAAACCUUUUCAAAAACAUAAUAAUCCCUCACUAUAAAACAAGUAUAGUUUCCAAAAUAAACAUACUACGUAUAGUAAGAAUAUACUUGUCGUAGCCUGCAAAAUCUCAAGAACUCAAUACGUCACAAAAUUCAUAAAUAAAUACAUGAUGUCCGUAAUCAUAUAAUCUCGCAUAAUUAAACAUAUCAUAUCGAGUGCUCAUCGACACAUGUUGACACACGAGUUCAUGCAAAGAUAUUCUAACAUGAAUAGGAAUGGGUGUAACGAUGAUAUACGCCCUAGUACUACAAUAACAUGAAGACUGGCGUCAUGGGCAGCACAUACGAGUCCUAGUUGCCUAUAGCAAUUUAGGACAUAACUGGCACCUACAAUGGAUCCAAAGUGGGCGUACGGUGCGAUGUGCAUAUGCACAUAAAAGACUGGCCUGACCUAGGUGAGUACUAACACCGAUGCAGCAAACGAUGAGCAGAUAACAUAACUAAAAUCAUACAGCGGUAAAUCAAUAAUUUAAGUCGUCAUAAUACUAUUCCAUAAACAUUAAUCAUAUGGCCAUAAACAUAAUUAAGGCAUCCCCUUAUAGUGAGCUUACAUGUGCUUCUUGUAGGAUUAUUUCAUAAUUUCCAAUAAUAAGACAUUUCUUAUAAACAUUAAUUUAAUUAUGGCAAUCGCUUAGAAAAUUCAUUAAUAAGUAUAUAUGUGGAAACUAACCCAUAUAUAUAUAUAUAUAUAUAUAUUAUAAAAGAAAAGACUCACUCACAGUUACUUGCGAUGUCACAUCCGUUCGAGCUAGAAAGGUCGGAGUUUCUGAUAAUGAUUGCACCUAAGCAUAAUAUUGGGACCCAUCCAUAAAACUCCACUAAG
Molecule: long non-coding RNA, 2087 nt
Filed under: Malus domestica (apple)
Lineage: Eukaryota; Viridiplantae; Streptophyta; Magnoliopsida; Rosales; Rosaceae
Description: long non-coding RNA (MDOM_LNC015692)
Source: RNAcentral